GUUGAAAUUGAAAUCACUCUCUGUUUGCAUAGAAACCGCACGAAAAUCUGAGGCCCCAGAAGAAAUUAGCAUCUGUACUUUGUUGAGUUCCUUUUUAUUUUCCUUUUUGGGCCGGUAAAUCGAUAUGAAUGGCGAGGGGAGCAGAGGAGAAGGUGAGAUCGUGAGAAUGGAAGAGGAUGUUAAGGAGAAGAAGAUUGUUUAUAUGUGGGGGUAUCUUCCUGGAGCUUUGC
This 230-nucleotide unclassified non-coding RNA is filed under the name Hevea brasiliensis (rubber tree). The record is from RNAcentral. Lineage: Eukaryota; Viridiplantae; Streptophyta; Magnoliopsida; Malpighiales; Euphorbiaceae.